UACGGAGGGUGCAAGCGUUGUUCGGAAUCACUGGGCGUAAAGCGCGCGCAGACGGGUCUAUAAGUCGACUGUGAAAUCCCAGAGCUUAACUUUGGAAUUGCAGCCGAAACUGGAGGACUUGAAUACCUGAGAGGGUGGGGGAAUUCCUGGUGUAGAAGUGAAAUUCGUAGAUAUCAGGAGGAACAUCGGCGGCGAAGGCGCCUACCUGGCAGUGUAUUGACGUUGAGGCGCGAAAGCAUGGGGAGCAAACAGG
This 253-nucleotide ribosomal RNA is filed under the name uncultured bacterium. RNAcentral's name for it is "partial 16S ribosomal RNA". It matches the Rfam family "Bacterial small subunit ribosomal RNA", at positions 524 to 776 of the family's 1533-position model. The record is from RNAcentral.